This is a long non-coding RNA of Acomys russatus (golden spiny mouse), 671 nucleotides long. RefSeq lists it as uncharacterized. Lineage: Eukaryota; Metazoa; Chordata; Mammalia; Rodentia; Muridae. The transcript is spliced from 3 exons. The record is from RefSeq and is a predicted model, not a curated record.
GGUCUCUCAGAGAAGAUACUUGACCAUGACUAGUGUCCUUAUCAAAAAAGGACACAAAGAACUUCGAGUUCCUUUCCCUCAUCUGAGGACCCAGCAAGAAGGUGCCACAGGUCCUGCCUGCACUGGCUGCUGACCCCAGACUCUCAGAAUCCACAGACUUGAGGAGUAAAACAACAGAAACGGAAACUAAAGCAGAUAGUUUGGCUAGUUGUAAAAUUCCACGUUCACAGCCUGUCAGCACUUCGCAUGAAUACGACAUCCCAUCGUCUUCUCGCCUCCACGCUCAUAUGUGGAAGUGAGAACAGCCUUUGGGGGUCUGCUGUCGCCCUCUGUCGUAUGAGUCCCGGGGAUCAAACUUAGGUGGCCACUAUCAAUGACAAGUGUCUUUAUCCACUCAUCAGCCCUGAUGAACUUUUUCAAAUAAAUGACUUUUUUAUCAAAAUAAUAAAGUUUUCAGCUAUUAUUUUUUCAGACACUUUUCUUCUCUAUUUUUCUCCCCUGCUUCUAGAAUCCUUGUUAUUCACAAGUGGGUUCUUGACAGCAUCACAUAGGUCUCUGAAGUUGUUCUUUGUCCUUCAUUCUUUCCUCUUUGCUUUUCAGGCUGAACAGUCUACCACUGUGUCUCCAAAUGCAACAACUCUCUCUUCUUCCAACCUCAAUUUGUUUUCAAG